AGUGAACGCUGGCGGCAUGCCUUACACAUGCAAGUCGAACGGCAGCACGGACUUCGGUCUGGUGGCGAGUGGCGAACGGGUGAGUAAUGUAUCGGAACGUACCUUUCAGUGGGGGAUAACGUAGCGAAAGUUACGCUAACACCGCAUAUUCUGUGAGCAGGAAAGCAGGGGAUCGCAAGACCUUGCGCUGAUUGAGCGGCCGAUAUCAGAUUAGCUAGUUGGUGAGGUAAAGGCUCACCAAGGCGACGAUCUGUAGCGGGUCUGAGAGGAUGAUCCGCCACACUGGAACUGAGACACGGUCCAGACUCCUACGGGAGGCAGCAGUGGGGAAUUUUGGACAAUGGGCGCAAGCCUGAUCCAGCCAUGCCGCGUGAGUGAAGAAGGCCUCGGGUUGU
RNAcentral lists this ribosomal RNA (395 nucleotides) under uncultured bacterium. RNAcentral describes it as "bacterial SSU rRNA". It matches the Rfam family "Bacterial small subunit ribosomal RNA", at positions 29 to 426 of the family's 1533-position model. The record is from RNAcentral.